CAGUCGCCGCGGUAAGACAGAGGAUGCAAGCGUUAUCCGGAAUGAUUGGGCGUAAAGCGUCUGUAGGUGGCUUUUCAAGUCCGCCGUCAAAUCCCAGGGCUCAACCCUGGACAGGCGGUGGAAACUACCAAGCUGGAGUACGGUAGGGGCAGAGGGAAUUUCCGGUGGAGCGGUGAAAUGCGCUGAGAUCGGAAAGAACACCCGUGGCGAAAGCGAGUCCCUGGACCCUUUCUGACGCUGAGACGCGAAAGCCAGGGGAGCGAACGGGAUUAGAGACCCCAGUAGUCCCUGUCUCUUAUAC
RNAcentral lists this ribosomal RNA (301 nucleotides) under uncultured bacterium. RNAcentral describes it as "partial 16S ribosomal RNA". It matches the Rfam family "Bacterial small subunit ribosomal RNA", at positions 509 to 807 of the family's 1533-position model. The record is from RNAcentral.